Molecule: ribosomal RNA, 513 nt
Filed under: uncultured bacterium
Lineage: Bacteria
Description: bacterial SSU rRNA
Rfam family: Bacterial small subunit ribosomal RNA
Source: RNAcentral
GAUUCUGGCUCAGGAUGAACGCUAGCUACAGGCUUAACACAUGCAAGUCGAGGGGCAGCAUGGUGUGUGCUUGCACACACUGAUGGCGACCGGCGCACGGGUGAGUAACGCGUAUCCAACCUGCCCGGUACUCGGGAACAGCCCUCUGAAAGGAGGAUUAAUGCCCGAUGUUCCGUGCAUCCCGCCUGGGAUGCCCGGCAAAGAUUCAUCGGUACCGGAUGGGGAUGCGUACGAUUAGGCAGUAGGCGGGGUAACGGCCCACCUAGCCUUCGAUCGUUAGGGUUCUGAGAGGAAGGUCCCCCACACUGGAACUGAGACACGGUCCAGACUCCUACGGGAGGCAGCAGUGAGGAAUAUUGGUCAAUGGGCGCGAGCCUGAACCAGCCAAGUAGCGUGAAGGAUGACUGCCCUACGGGUUGUAAACUUCUUUUAUGGGGGAAUAACAAGGGCCACGCGUGGCCCCCUGCAUGUACCCCUUGAAUAAGCAUCGGCUAAUUCCGUGCCAGCAGCGGC